AUUGAACGCUGGCGGCGUGCCUAAUACAUGCAAGUAGGACGCAGUUGCGAACGGGUGAGUAACGCGUAGGUAACUACCUAUUAGAGGGGGAUAACUCUUGGAAACGAUAGCUAAUACCGCAUACUAGUAGAUGGAACUGCGUUGUAUUAGCUAGUAGGUAGGGUAAUGGCCUACCUAGGCAACGAUACAUAGCCGACAUGGGAGGGUGAACGGCCACACGGGGACUGAGACACGGCCCUGACUCCUACGGGAGGCAGCAGUAGGGGAUCUUCGGCAAUGGGGGGAACGCUGACCGAUGAACGCCGCGGGAGUGGAGAAGGUUUUCGGAUCGUAAAGCUCUGUUGUGAAGGAAGCGGUACUUAACCAGAAAGGGACGGCUAACUACGUGCCAGCAGCCGCGGUAAUAC
RNAcentral lists this ribosomal RNA (407 nucleotides) under uncultured bacterium. RNAcentral's name for it is "partial 16S ribosomal RNA". It matches the Rfam family "Bacterial small subunit ribosomal RNA", at positions 30 to 526 of the family's 1533-position model. The record is from RNAcentral.